GGGUUGUGAGGUUAAGCGACUAAGCGUACACGGUGGAUGCCCUGGCAGUCAGAGGCGAUGAAGGGCGUGCUAAUCUGCGAUAAGCGCCGGUAAGGUGAUAUGAACCGUUAUAACCGGCGAUACCCGAAUGGGGAAACCCAGUGUGACUCGUCACACUAUCAUUAACUGAAUCCAUAGGUUAAUGAGGCGAACCGGGGGAACUGAAACAUCUAAGUACCCCGAGGAAAAGAAAUCAACCGAGAUUCCCCCAGUAGCGGCGAGCGAACGGGGAGGAGCCCAGAGCCUGAAUCAGCAUGUGUGUUAGUGGAAGCGUCUGGAAAGGCGCGCGAUACAGGGUGACAGCCCCGUACACAAAAGCGCAUGUGCUGUGAGCUCGAUGAGUAGGGCGGGACACGUGGUAUCCUGUCUGAAUAUGGGGGGACCAUCCUCCAAGGCUAAAUACUCCUGACUGACCGAUAGUGAACCAGUACCGUGAGGGAAAGGCGAAAAGAACCCCGGCGAGGGGAGUGAAAAAGAACCUGAAACCGUGUACGUACAAGCAGUGGGAGCACAGGUUUACCUGUGUGACUGCGUACCUUUUGUAUAAUGGGUCAGCGACUUAUAUUCUGUAGCAAGGUUAACCGUAUAGGGGAGCCGGAGGGAAACCGAGUCUUAAU
This 656-nucleotide ribosomal RNA is filed under the name Salmonella enterica subsp. enterica serovar Saintpaul. Its description in RNAcentral is "bacterial LSU rRNA". It matches the Rfam family "Bacterial large subunit ribosomal RNA", at positions 1 to 688 of the family's 2925-position model. The record is from RNAcentral. Lineage: Bacteria; Pseudomonadati; Pseudomonadota; Gammaproteobacteria; Enterobacterales; Enterobacteriaceae.